AUAAAAGUUAAAUACAAGAUUUGAACAGUCAAAUGCCUCGUACGUUUAGGAAAAUCAUUUAAACUACAUCUAGUUUCAUUUAACUUAUUGCACCAAGUUGUCUAUCUUUCAUUGACCACUCACUUCAUAUUUCAAAUAAGUUCAGCUUCAAGAAGUUUCUGGCACCUUGUUCCCCUUUCUCUUUCCCCUUUUUUCUUUGGGGCACCAGCUGUUUUGUCUUUCUUCCACAUAGCCUAUAAGAUAAACAAAACAAUCCAGUAUUAAAAUAACUCACUUUAAUUUCUUGAUCAAAAUUUUUAAAAAUAAAAGGCUUAGAUGUCUAACCUCGAGAGUUUUGACCUUUGUAAGAAUAUCCUCGGGCACCUCGUACUCCUGUCCCUUUCCCCUUCUUUUGUCUGCGCGAAGAUUAAGUGUUUUAGAUAAGAGUGAGUUUCUCUAGUGGUAAGUAUUUUUCACUUUCAAUCAAGAGCUUGUGAGUUCGAGUCAUCCCAAGAGCAAGGUGGGGAGUUUUUGGAGGGAGGGAGCCGAGGGUCUAUCGGAAACAGCCUCUCUACCCCAGGGUAGGGGUAAGAUCUGCGUACACACUAUCCUCCCCAAACCUCACUAGUGAGAUUAUACUGGGUUGUUAUUGUUGUUGUCUCCGUUCCAGUUUAUGUGAACCUAUUUUCUUUUUAGUCCGUUCCAAAAAGAGUGACCUCUUUUUAAAUUUGGAAAUAAUUUUGCUUAAACUUACAAUUCUACCCUUAAUGAUAAGCUUUUAUAACCACACAAAUACUCUGGACCUCUUUUUGAAUUGUUUAGAACCACAAAUUACAAAAGUCUUUAUUUUUUCUUAAACUCCGUGUCCAGUCAAACAGGUUCACAUAAAUUGAAACGGAGGGAGUAUAAGAUAACAAAGCAAUCCGUUAAAAUAGAAUAAAACUCUUUUUUGAUUAGAAUUUUGAAGGGAAAAAAAGGCAGGGUGACUCAAGGGGAGGCCAAUAAAGCCUUUACCUUAGGCCUCAUAAUUUUAAGACUCCAAAAAAAUUAUAAUAGUAAAUUUUAUGAUUUUGUACGCUUAAAUAAUAUUAAAAUUUGUAAAAAAAAAGAAAGAAAAAAAGUACGAAAUCUCUAUAUGAGAGAGAAGGACUUGUCUUUUUUAGCAAUAACUACGCUUCGAUCAAAAUAAAGUUGGGGGUUGUCUUCUUUUUAACAAUAGAAUUUUGAAUUAAACUGCUCAAAUCUUCAUAUUAGUAAAAAAAAUAAAAAAUUACAAUAACAUCCAUAGUUGUAUAGGAAAAAAUACGACAUGACACAUGACCGCUUAAAGGAAGGACACGUAGAAUACAAGAUGGAGAUGGCCACCGAACAUAGCUAUUCUGCUUGUCACCGGAAGGGAUAAAGAUCAUAAAAGGAGUAGUAAAUGCUUUGCGCCCGGUAACAUUUAAUACAGAAUAUUUUGCAGCAUUAAGGAUGAUAGCAUGCUACAAGGAAUUUGGCAUUUAUGUCUAACGUUACAUCUUCAUCAAUGACCCUCAUAAUUGACAUUAAAGAAGGGCAUGAUCCUAGGACUUCUUUCCCUAGACAUAACUGUAAAUAAAGAGCUCAAUUAUCAUUGUAAGGCAUGAAUUUUCUGGCUAACUAACAUUAUAUUCUAUACAGCAUUUUAAUACAAGUUUAUUCUCUCGCUUUUGAUCUCAUCAUUGUUGUGCCCGGAAACCUUCUUCCCGGAUUCAUUAGCUCUGUUGUUUCAUCUAUAUUUUAAGGCUAAGUAUUUUAUAUUUCAUCAGUUAUUUCAUUACUUUUUGGAUCAAAUUAAUUCACUUGUCUAGAAACCACGAACAAAUUCAACAGUACCAUUUUUUGGAAAAACAGUUUGGCACCCACCGUGGGGCCUAGACGGUCGUAUAGUUAAAUUAAUCCUUGCCUUUUUUACUAAUUUGUUUGAUUAUUUUGUCUUAGCAAAAAUCACAAAAGAAAUUGCACAUAACACUGUUAACGGCACACAUAACCCUAAAAUUCAAGGGGAACAACCUCAUUUCGAGGAUUUAAUCAGUGACACUCGCAAUGAGGGGAACGUUGCCACAUCGGAACGUGACAGGCGGUACCCUCGAUAGGUUCGGGAGGCAACUCCUAAUGAUGCUGAUGAGGGGUAUGUGGCGGAUGCAAUAAGGGUCCUGCAAGAGCAACAUGCAGUCAUUCUAGGCCAUCUCACGCAACAGGAUCAGGUUAUGACAGAACUGAAGCAGGCGCUAUCGGGUGCCUCAAAUAAUGCAAACAGGCAAGAUCCAGUUCCUCCUGAUAUCCCCGCAAAUCAGACGACGAAGAGAGUUGAUAAUAACACUCCUAGGGGCGAAGUUGGCUCCGAUGGGGCUGGGGGGAGUAGAUCCGGCCUCAACAACGAGAAAGAUCCAUUCAAGGAUGAACUCUUGCGGUUCAUGAAGGAAGUAAACACCCGCAUGGAUCAAAUCCCAAGCGCGCCACCAGUAUUAAAAGGCCCAAACUUAAAGAAGUAUAUUCAGUUACCGUACAAGUCGAGUGCAGCCCCGGAAUUGAUCCCGAAGCGGUUCAAAAUGCCCGAAGUGCCGAAGUAUGACAGAACUUCAGAUCCACAGGAGCACAUUACCACCUACACAACAACGGUAAAAGGAAAUGAUUUAGCUCCUCACGAAAUUGAGUCUAUGUUGCUGAAAAUAUUUGGUGAGACUCUCACAAGGGGAGCUUUAACGUGGUAUGUAUUAUUGCCCGAGCAUUCCAUAGAUUCCUUUGAGAUGCUCGCGGAUUCUUCAUCAAGGCUCAUGUCGGUGCCAGGAAGGUAUAUGUCCGAAAGGCCGAUAUAUUCAGGAUCGUGCAGGGAGAAUUCGAGUUAUUACGAGAGUUUGUCACCCGGUUCCAAAAGGAAAGGAUGUUUUUACCGGCAGUCCCGGAUGAAUCGGCAGCUAAAGCAUUCACCAAAGGUUUAAAUCCUAGAAGUUUGGACGCUUCCCAGAAGUUGAAGGAAAGUCUGCUCGAGUUCCAAGCGACGACUUGGGCAGAUGUCCACAACCGGUGAGAGUCGAAAAUAAGGAUAAAAGAUGAUCAAGUUAGAUUUCCAUCGCCGACCAAAGGAUGGAAGAAGAACAAAGAAAAAACGAAAGAUGAUAUUAACACAGCUAGACGUACUUCGAUGGGACGGUUUUUUCUCUACGAGCGGACAGAAGGUCGUGUCAGGAACUUCCGAACAACAGACAGGCUCACCGUUGAUAGAAGGACCGAUCGUGGCCGGAACUACAGAUCGCUGCAGGAUAGAGAAAUCUCGGGGUCGCGAGAUUCUUCUUACCCAAAGUUAUCAGAAUAUAACUUCAAUGUUAGUGUCGUAGAGUUGGUGUCAUCCAUGAGGAGUAUUAAAGAGGCACGAUUCCCAAGACCUAUGAAAUCUGAUCCCAGCCGGAGGGACCCUAAUUUAUAGUGUGAAUACCAUCGCACUAACGGCCACCUGACUGGGGACUGCCGACACCUCCGGGAAGAAGUGGCAACGCUGUUAAAGAAUGGUCACCUCAGAGAAUUCUUGAGUAAUCAUGCUAAAAACAAUUAUGGUCGGAACAGGAGCGAUACGGAAACCUCGAAAGCAGGAGAAGAACCUCCACAGCAAAUGAUCAACAUGAUCUUCGGAGGGAAUAAAAUUAACGGGGUCACCUUUACGGAAGCGAAGAAGACAAAAGUGUGGAUAACUCAUAGUAAGAGGCUCCGGGAGACGAUAUCACAUUCACGGAUGAAGAUGUAGACGAAUUACUACUCCCGCAUAAUGACGCACUGGUAAUUUCUUUAAAUGUGUUAGAUUUUAAAAUUAAACGUGUUUUAGUGGAUCCAAGAAGUUUAGCUAAUAUCAUAUAAUGGAGAGUACUGGAGCAAGCUCAACUCUCCGGAAGCAUUAUCCCGGCAACGAAACUCCUCGCCGGAUUUAACCUCGCAAGCAUGACAACCCGGGGAGAAAUUUUGCUGCUCACGAACGCUGAGGGAGUAAUGAAGACAACACUCUUCGAAGUGGUAGAUGGAGACAUGGGGUAUAACAUCAUCUUGGAAAGACCAUAGCUGCACGAGAUGAAAGCCGUACCUUCAACAUAUCACCAAUUGUUAACAUUUCCGACACCUGAGGGGAUCAAACAGAUAAAGAGUGAUCAACCAGCAGCAAGGGAGAUGAAUGAAAUUUCGGUUUCCAGAAGCAAAGGAAAGGAAUGUGCGUCAUAGCAAUUACUGGAACCGGCACCUGCCCCCGAACUAGAGGAAGAUAACCCGGGGACAGAAGAGUCGGAACAAUAUCAGGUACCAAGAUAUUUUCAAGUAGUGGAAGAGACAGUUGCGACGAAGUCUACGGUAGAAGAACUAAAGCAGGUUGUGUUGUUCGGAGAAUUCCUAGAAAGAAAAUUUCAAUUUGGGAACAGGAUUACACCCUACUUUUAGUGAAUUCCUUAAAAAUAACACUGAUUUUUUUGCAUGGUCGCACGAGGAGAAAUCCCGAUGGAGAUAGUCGUACACAAGUUAAUCUUGGAUCCCAACACACCUCCAGUAAGGCAGAAAAAGCUCACUACUGCCGAAGAAAGGAAUAAAUUCGUCAAAGAAGAGGUAACCCAUUUACUUAAGAUUGGUUCAAUCUGAGAGGUAAGAUAUCCGGAUUGGCUAGCAAAUGUAGUAAUAGUUCCUAAGAAAAAUAAUAAAUUUUGCAUGUGCGUAGAUUAUAAGGAUCUUAAUAAGGUGCGCGCGAAAGACUCAUUCUCAUUGCCAAAUAUUAAUCAAAUGAUUGAUGCCACGACCGGGAGCAAGUUAACGAGUUUCCUCGAUGCUUAUUCUGGGUACAAUCAAAUCAAGAUGAACCAGAAGAUCAAGAAAAGACUUCGUUUAUAACAAAUAUUACAAUGUGAUGCCCUUCAAGCUAAAAAAUGCCGGAGCCACUUAUCAACGGCUCGUGAAUAAGAUGUUCAAAAAACAAAUAGGAAAAACUAUGGAAGUAUAUAUAGACGAUAUGCUCGUUAGGUCUUUGAACGCAGGUGACCACCUGAAGCAUUUGCAAGAAACAUUCGACAUCCUGAGGAAGCAUAAUAUAAAGCUUAACCCCGAGAAGUGUGCUUUCGGGGUCAAUUCGGGUAAGUUCCUAGGGUUCCUAGUCUCUCAAAGGGGAAUUGAGGUAAAUCCCGACAACAUCAAGGCCAUAGAGGACAUCCCAGAUCAAUUGUCUAACGUAAAAGAAGUCCAAAGUCUCACAAGGAGAUUGGAAGCUUUGAGCAGCUUCAUUUCCCGUUCAUCGAAACAAUGUCAUCGCUUCUUCGCACUACUCAAAAAGAAAAACAAAUUCGAAUGGACACCGGAGUGUCAGCAAGCCUUGAAGGAGUUGAAGAAAUAUUUGUCAAGCCCUCCGUUGCUCUCAAAACCAAAAGAAGAUGAAACAUUUCUAGUCUACCUCGUUGUUUUAGAAGUUGCGGUAAGUACAGUUUUAGUCCGGGAGGACGAAGGUACGCAAUCUCCCAUUUAUUAUGUUAGUAAAAUUUUAACAGGAGCAUAAACUAGCUACCCACAUUUGGAAAAGAUGGCCUUAGCUCUCGUCGUCGCCGCUCAAAAGUUGAGGCCCUACUUCCAAUGCGACCCGAUAGUUGUGGUGACUACUUUCCCUCUAAGGAAUAUCCUUUAUAAACCUGAGCUCUCGGGUAGAUUUGCCAAAUGGGCCGUCAAAAUGAGCGAGUUCGAUAUAGAAUAUAAAUUGAGGACUGCAAUUAAGUCGCAAGUCUUGGAUGAUUUCGUGGCCGGUUUCAGUCCGGGACUAUUGUCUCUAGCAGCCAAGGAGGCAAUAAUGGUGUCAGAAUCGACAUCGGGGGUUUGGACCUUAUUUAUGGACGGAGCUUCAAAUGUAAAAGGGUCCGGGCUCUGAAUAGUCUUAAUCAUGCCUUCGGGGGAAACCUUAAGGCAAGACAUCCAAAUGAUUCCUUUAACUAACAAUGAAGCAGAGUACGAAGCUUUGAUUGCAGGGCUCGAAUUGGCCCAGGGGCUUGACUCCGAAGUCAUCGAAAUCAAAUGUGAUUCGCAGCUGGUGGUAAAUCAGGUCUACAGAAUUUUUAACACCAAAGAGGAACGUAUGCAACAAUAUGUGGUAAAGAUUCAGACUAUAUUGGCAUGAUUCCGGGAGUGGUCAAUAACACAUAUCUCGAGGGAAGAUAACGCGGAAGCAGAUGCAUUGACAAAUUUGGGCUCAUCAACAGAAAUCCAAGGAUCAGAAUCAGGGACAGUAGUACAACUGAUGAACUGAGCAUUAGACACAGAUGGUUACUAUGGGGUGAAUUCGAUUAUUUUGGUCUGGGACUGGAGAAAAGAAAUAAUCGAUUAUCUCGAGUAUGGAAAGUUGCCCGAAGACCCCAAAGCAUCAAAAGCGUUGCGCGCCAAAGCUGCACGUUAUAGCUUCAAGAAAGGCCAAUUGUACAGAAAAUCCUUUCAAGGCCCUUUGGCCAGGUGCUUAGGAGAAUCAUAAGCUAACUAUGUCAUGAGAGAAGUCUACGAAGGGAUAUGCGGCAACCACUCAGGUGCAGAUUCUUUGGUGCUCAAAUUAGUUCAGGCAGGAUAUUACUGGCCUCGUAUGGAACAAGAUGCGAAAGACUUUGUACAAAAAUGUGAUAAGUGCCAAUUCUACGCAUCACUAGUACAUCAACCGACAGAACCCUUGCAUUCAGUUAUGUCCCCGUGGUCGUUCAUGAAAUGGGGGAUGGACAUUGUCGGAUCCCUGCCGUCGGCUCCUGGAAAGGUAAGGUUUCUUUUAAUUUAGACUGACUAUUUUUCUAAAUAGGUGGAAGCAGGUCCUUAUCAAAAGAUAGGAGAACGCGAAAUUGUCGACUUUCUGUUGAAAAAUAUAAUUUGCAGGUUUGGAAUACCAAACGAGAUUGCAUGCGACAAUGGGUCGCAAUUUAUCGGUGCAAAAGUUACAAAGUUCCUUGAAGAUAAGAGGAUUACCUCUUCACCUUAUAAUCCGAGCGCAAAUGGUCAAGCGGAGUCAACAAACAAAGUGAUUAUUCAAAACCUCAAGAAAAGAUUGGAAGCAGCAAAAGGCAGCUGGCCUGAAGAAUUGCCUGGGGUUCUAUGGGCCUUACGAACAACGUCCAAGUCAAGCACGAGAGAGACCCCUUUUUCCUUUGUAUACGGCGCAAAAGCUUUGAUACCGGUGGAAGUUGGGGAACCAACCUUAAGGUAUUUUGAGGUGAACGGAGGAUCGAACAACGAAGCAAUGCUAAUCAACUUGGAGCUGCUCGAAGAACACAGGGACUUGGCGCAUGUCAAAAUGGCGGCUCAAAAGCAAAGAAUGGAGCGAUAUUAUAAUCGAAGAGCAAACCUUCGAUAUUUCAAAGUAGGAGACUUGGUCUUGAGGAAGGUAACUCAAAACACCCGAGGACUCAACGCGGGCAAGUUAGGCCCAACAUGGGAAGGCCCUUACCGGGUUUCAGCUAUCACUAAGAAAGGAUCAUACGAGUUGGAGAACCAAAACAGAGACAAGUUGCCCAACAACUGGAAUGUAGCUCACCACAAAAGAUAUUACUUCUGACGAAUAACAGUCAAACAGAAAGUAUGUGUUGCACUCUUUUUCCCUUCGUUCAGCUUUUGUCCUAAUUGAGUUUUUUCUAGCAAGGUUCUAAACGAGGCAGUGACAGAAAGCAUACUACGAAGCAGUGAUAAGACCUUUGAUAACAAGGCAAACAAGCAAGUUUUCACUCGGGGAUGAUUAAAUAAUAUUUUCUUGGAUAGCAAAUUCCCACCGGUAAGUUAAGUUUUCUACCGAAAAGAGAUUACCCGAUCGUUCACGAGCACAAAUCACUAGAGGAUUUUUAGGUAUUCUUUCGCUCGAUAACAUGAGUUCCUAAUGGGAAACAAGAUAUGUUGCUGAGUGAACGAUUACCUAGCAAUUCAUUGGUGGGAUGUUCAAAGAUACAAUGCUUCCAGUGUUCCAAUUCGCAUUCUUCGCAUUCGAACACUGGGGGGAAUGAUAUGAGGUUACGACAACACUGAAUGCCAGGCAACAUUGAGUGCCACGUCAAUCGGGGAACAAAAAUUCGGAACAGAAUACAUCAUCGGGACCGGGGACUGUGCAGCCAACCCCGUAGAAACAAGUUGUACAAGAUAGCCACAAGUCAUGGCAAUUUCUUUAUAGCCACAAGUCAUGGCAAUCUCUUUUCUGCAUAGCAAAAUGCUUAUGUACUUUUGAAAAUAGAAGGAAUUAAAUGAAAUGAAAUCCUUUUGUUUUUAUCUUGUUUCUUGUUUGAACGAUGAGCCAAUUUUACCAUUUGAAAGUUAAACAAGUACUUCAAAUAAUUGUGCCGUAAUAAAUAGGAUACGUCCUCUUCAAGAGCAUCGUAAACAUAAGAGGGCCCUAUCUUAUAAAUACCCUCACGUUAAAAGGUUGGUUCCAGAAGGAUCAAUGCCCGAAAUCCAUAAUGGAUCGGGGAAAAAUACACCCGAAGCUGCAUACGAAAAAGACGCAAAAAUAAUCUUGCACAAAUACUUAUUGAAACCCUCAUGUAAAAGGGAUAAUUCUUGGAACCAAAAUGCUUCGAAGAAAAAGCAUCCGAGAUUACACAUGAUAAAGUGCGAAUAGAACAACAUGCGCUGAAUACGUAAGCAAGUACUAAAGACUUGCAUGAAUAUUCAAAACGAAAAUAAGACUCAAACGAUACUUGAGCAAAAAAUAUGUUUUUAUUUACAAGGGCGCGUAAGAAUGAUGAAGGUACAAAAUAGAAAAAGAUAGAAAACGCUAAGCUGCAUCGUCUCCGAAAUCAGGAGGAAGAGAAGUAUCUGCAUCCCUGAGAGUUGGUUCCACUGUUGGCUCAACGUUUUCCCCAGCUUGGUCUUCAGUAUCAUCACCUUCCGAUCCCUCUUCAGUUUUCGAAAACUCAAAACCGGAAUAAGAAAAACCUGAAGCGUCAGACUGCGCCGGGAGUCCAUUUUUUGCGACCAACUCAAGCUCUCGGGCCUUAGCAAUUUCGGCAUCAAUGUCAAUGAUACCAGUCUUGGUCUCUUCCAUAGUUUUUCUCCUCAUGCUAUACAUGGAAUAAGUUUUUUCAACAAUGAGGGAAGCCACUCAGUGCUUGAGUUCUUCUUUGAGUCGAGUAAUUUCGGCGAAAAGGUUUUCCCGGGCGGACCUAACAGAUUUGAGAUUGACAUCGAGCUUACAGACAGUUGAACUAUAGAGCCUAUUAUGAUCGAUAGUUUUCCUGUACUACUCUUCCAACUGGGCAUGUUUCUUCACCACACCAGCAAGCUCUUCGCUUUUGGAGUUUAAGGUUGCUUCCAAAUUAAUCACUCUUUCAGUGGAGGCAGCCUCGCGCUCGGUCGCAACAAGAAUGGCGUCCUGGACUUCAACCCAUUUAGCCUUGGCUUCAUCAAAUCUAACCCUCAACGGGCUAACUUCUUGGCUGAGGGUUAUCACUUCUUGCUCGCUUUGCUGCAAACGAGUUUCCAAAACGUCGGCCUUGGCAACUCUGGUUUCCAGUUCUGAGAGACGGAGAAUGGUUUGGUCCCGUUCUAACAAAAGUUGAUCCCGUUCAGAAGUAAGUCUUACCUUCUCCCGAAUCAACCUUUAAAGGCCUUCAGAAGUAAGAAAGUUGGCCUGCAAAACAAGAAGAGGUAAAACUCAAACACAUUCAAAAGUAGGGGAAAUAACAGAGGAAGAAAGAAACGUACCGCUGCAGCGUUAUGCAUAGCAUUGUUCAACAAACACUCUUCCGAGAGUGUCUAAAUCUUUUCCCAAUCCUUCUUUGAAGCCAAAGGCUUCAGAUAGUUAGCAAGCUCCACCGGCCUCGAAAUCAAGUUACACCCGGUGGAUACCGAAAGGGUAACUCCCUAUCCUUUGUAGAUCUUCAGAAGGGGCAACAUAAUUUUGCCCUAACUUUUCAUGAACUUGGGACUUUGGAGGAGAGAUACCUUCUUCAUGGUCAAGUGUGGCCGAGGGAGAUGAUGUUGCUGGUGGAAAAGUGGAUGAAGAUGGAAGUGAUGUAGCAGUUGCUGGUGUUGGAGAAAGUGGAUGAAGUUGAUGGGGUAGAAGAAUGAGAAACAGAUGCGUCAAAAGCAGCACUGGAUGUUGGGUGCUCGCCAACCGAAGAUGACAAGGACCCGGUACUCUGCCUCACUGUACCGGGCACAAUAAUUGGGGCUCGAGAAUGGGAGGUGACAUUAUCUACUAAAUCAAAUUCUUCCCAAAGUGCCGAGACAUCAUCCUCGGUUGGUAUGACUGUCUCAACAGGUUGAGCAUCCUGUUGAGAUGAUAAGGAUCGUCGCCUUCUAUGUAAAGAAGCUCCCUCAUCACUAGCUUCUUCAUCAUCAUAGUGUCUAUGACCGGCCCGGAAGGAGGACCAAUCAUCAUCUCCACCGGAGAUGACUCGGGGGCAGCAACCUUUGCCCUCUUAUUCUUUUCCCCGGCCGCAGAAGAUCAUCUUCUCUUUGGUUGCUUGUUCUCUGACCGGGGAUUCCCUGAAGAAACGUUUGCGCCCGAAGCAGGCUCGGAGACUCCUAUUCGAGUAUGUGCCUCCUGAAGAAGCCUCGCCGCAUCAGCAGGGCCAUCCAAAACAUCCUACUCGGGUACAUCAACUGAGCCCGCAGGUAGACCUAAUAUCAUGAACAAGUCAGAAGAAUUAAACCAAGUUCUUCGUAUACAAUGAAUGGAAACAAGGUACUUUAAAGUUACCAUGAAUUUUGGCCUUCCACCCGUAUUUAAGGGACAUCUCUUUCCACAAACGAGUUUCGGGCGUUGUGAUGUCCAAGAUCUUCUGAACCCACCAGACCAAGCCUUCUAUCACCGGUAGGAUCCAUCGAGUUGCUAUAAUAAACGAAGGUUGAAGGAUCCAUAUGAACAUGAAAGAAUAUUUAGUAGGAAAAUAUUUAUUAAAGGGAACUUACGAGAGCGGUUCCAAGAAACCGGAAAGGAUGAAGCCGUUGUUGGAAUAAUGUCACUGGUGGCAACUGCAACGAACUGUUUCAUCCACCCACAGUUGUUGUCAUCAUCCAUGCUAGGUAGUAAAGCAUGGUGGCCACACUUGAAAAGGUUUAUCAUUCCCUCUCGGGAGAUUUUGGGGGAAUAGGGAUUCAUCAUAUGAGCUAGGGUUAGCUCCUCUCCAGUUUCUUGGCACAAACACCGAAGGCAGGCGAUCGUCCUCAACACUGAAGGACUUACCUGUGCCAAGCACACUUGGUAGUGAAGGCAAAACUUGGCGAUUACGGAAUCAAGCUCUUCGCUAAAAAAAACGCACCCAAAGUAAAGGGAUACGUGAAGAAAUAUAUAAAACCUUCUUUGGGAAGGGUCACUCUCUCCGAUAAAUCAGGAGCAAUAAUAUUUAACUCAGGGAAACGACAGUCCUCCUUCAUAGCAGGAAUACUGGAAAGGCGAAUGGAAGAAGGUUAUCUACUAACGACCCAUGUACGAGGGUUAGCAGUAGGAAAUUUCUCUUCAAGAUCCUUCGAAGUACUAAGCCUUUUUGGGAUGAUGGAACCCACUGUUAGAGGAACAUAAUCCUCAGUUUUAUUCUUGCCCUUUGAAGAUCUAGCACGUUUUGAAGAAGAAGCCAUUGGAAUAGAAGGUAGAAAAAUUUCUGGUUCGAAGAAGAUCAGAGAAAAUUGGGAAACAAAGAUGCAAGUUAGAAGUUUGAGAAAUUAUAAAGUAUAUAAGAGGAGGAGGAUGUGUAUAAGUAAAAUUUUGGCGGCUAAAUUCAUGGCCAUGAUUACCUUGAUAAUCGAUAAAAGUUGUGCUGAAUCGUGGAAUGACGCAUGUUCGGGACAUUAAAUGCGGAGAGGCAGGCGUUUAAUCAACCGUCACUGGCCUUCAAAAGGAAUUAUAGUAAUUUCCGCCAAAAGAGUGUUUCUACCAACUUUCCGGUAAUACAAAGUUAUGCCAUCGGAAAGCAGGGGGACUAUCUGUAUAGAGAAAAAUAUGACAUGACACGUGGCCGCUUAAAAGAAGGACACAUAGAACACAAGAUGGAGAUGGCCACCGAACAUAGCUAUUCUGCUUGUCACCGGAAGGGAUAAAGAUCAUAAAAGGAGUAGUAAAUGUUUUGCGCCCGGUAAUAUUUAAUACAGAAUAUUUUACAGCAUUAAGGAUGAUGGCAUGCUACAAGGAAUUUGGCAUUUAUGUCUAACGUUACAUCUUCAUCAAUGACCCUCAUAAUUGACAUUAAAGAAGGGCAUGAUCAUAAGACUUCUUUCCCUAGACAUAACUAUAAAUAGAGAGCUCAAUUAUCAUUGUAAGGCACGAAUUUUCUGGCUAACUGACAUUAUAUUCUAUACAGCAUUUUAAUACAAGUUUAUUCUCUCGCUUUUGAUCUCAUCAUUGUUGUGCCCGGAAACAUUCUUCCCGGACUCAUUAACUUUGUUGUUUCAUCUACAUUCUAAGACUAAGUAUUUUAUAUUUCAUCAGUUAUUUCAUUACUUUUUGGAUCAAAUUAAUUCACUUGUCUAGAAACCACGAACAAAUUCAACUAUACCGUUUUUUGGGUAAACAAUAGUAAUAUAUUGCAAAUAUAUAGCUAAUAUCUUAUUAACUUGAAGUAACAGUAACGAUAUAAUUUAUAAUAUUAGUAUGUGAAGUUAAACACUUGUCUUUUAAGACUAUUAUACUUAAAGAAAAAGUGAAAAGGAAAAAGAAAAUUAGCUUUUUCAUAUUUGUAUUCGGUUAAAAAGUUUAAGGCCUGUUAUUAAUUUGGCUUUAGGACACUAGUUUUAUUAAUUGAAAUAGAAUUACUCACUUUCUUGAUCAGAAUUUUGAAAAAUAAAAGGCUUAGAUGUCUAACCUCGAGAGUUUUGACCCUUGCAAGAAUAUCUUCGGGCACCUCGUAUUUCUGUCCAUUUCCCUUUCCCUUCUUUUGUCUGCGCGAAGAUC
Molecule: long non-coding RNA, 12853 nt
Filed under: Nicotiana tabacum (common tobacco)
Lineage: Eukaryota; Viridiplantae; Streptophyta; Magnoliopsida; Solanales; Solanaceae
Description: long non-coding RNA (NTAB_LNC017168)
Source: RNAcentral